This 1905-nucleotide long non-coding RNA is filed under the name Canis lupus familiaris (dog). RNAcentral's name for it is "lncRNA (ENSCAFG00000051374.1)". Lineage: Eukaryota; Metazoa; Chordata; Mammalia; Carnivora; Canidae. The record is from RNAcentral.
CUUAACUUUGAGGUCCAGGAACCAUAUAAUAAGACACGUUCUUUCGUUUCCAAGGGGGGAAGAACUGAUCUUUGGAAAAGGAGGUAACAAACAGUACCUGAUCAUUUUACACAGUAAACAACUAAAAUCUGAAGGAAGGAACUGUUGACAGCAAAAAAAGAUUAAUCAUAGCCCUUGCAAAUCAUCCUUGUCCUGUGGUCUUCAGGGACAGAGUAUGAUAAUUAACUAUAAGCCAUAAAUCCUAACCCUGGAUUAGCACCUUAUUUUCAGCGACUGUUGGCAAAUAAUAAAUAAAAUCUAACCUGUCUUUGCCGCUAUUUUUUAAUUAGAUUUUUUUCCCCUUCCAUUUAGUCGAUUGUAAGGAUUGAUGGUAAUGACAGUUUCCACGAUACCAGCAGGGAAUGGAGAGGACACCUUCUUUAGUUCUGAAUGGGAUGUGAUGGUUGUUAGUAAACAAAAGCUUGAAGCUUUCAUUCCCAUAUGGAGAAAUUCAAACUCACUUGAAAUCACUCAAUUUCCCACCAUGAGCAGCGUGGUUUUGUUAGACCCAGAUGGAAGAUGACUCUCUGUGGCCAGGUCCUAAGAUGCUGGCUGGAACCAAGGGAGAAGAAAUUCUGUAAACCUUGAUAAGUCUCCAACAAGGGAGUGCUUGUGACAAAUUCCUGGUGCCCAAAGAGCACAAAGCUGUGUGACUACAGCAAUGUGGCUGAUGGAUACAAAGUUAAAGGCCCUCACAUGUUUCAUGUAACACAUUUUUACUGGGUGCAUACUCUGUGCCUAUCACUGUAGACAUUAAAUAUGUAUCCACGUAUUACACUUGUAUAAUGGAUAUGGGUCAAGGAAGCAAGAGAAAUGAUUUUCUGUCCCACCCCACUCAAUCAAAUAAAGGUUAUCCAUCUGUCCUUCUCCCACAGAUGACGGAAUAGGAUAGGAUCUGAAAACAUGUCAUAGGCAUAUGAUAUUACAUCACCCAACGGUAUUGGGUCAUGUAUCCCAGUGAUUGGCUUGUAUAAUCUUCUUCCUAUAUAUAUGCUUGAGGUUUUUCUUCCAGGAGAGAGGAUAGGCGCUGCUGAGUCAUCCUGUGGCAGUCUUUCUUGUGUCUUGUGUCUAAAUCCUUCAAAUCAUGGACAUCUUGAGAGGAUGGACAUGUCCUAUAUGCCUCACGUGUCCUCUGCCUGGCACAGUGCCUGGCACGGGGUACAUACUCAGUACCUGUUUACUAAAUGAAUGUCAGUGUGCAUCAGAGACAGGGGUAUCUAUAUUAGUAGAAUGACAUUUAACUGUGGAUAGUUUUCCCUGGCAUAAAGUCAGUUGGUUAUUAGGGAAUUAAAACUGAGUUUUGGUCUCAUACAAACAUCCACUUGAAACAAAACAAAACGAAACAAAACUGCCCAAGUGUAAAGGUCACAUAAAAGGCAUCAACAAUUAUUCAUCCCUGGAUCUUUUCCCCUUUUAUCUCAUUGUUAAACAGAAGUUAUACUGAUGGCAAGUGGAAGCUUUAGGCAAAGAUCAGGUAUAUAUUUUUUAGUCUGAUCCUUGUUAAGCCCGGGUGUAUGUUAUGAACUUCAAUGUUUAGGCACAAACAAUGAUAUACAAAGAGAUUUCUGUGACAUGCACAACCUUGAAUGAAUCCUGAUCACAUGCUGUUGAUAGACCGUUAAAGACAAUGUAUAAAGUUAUGAUUAUAAUGAAGUUUUUCCUUCCCUCAAAUGCAUGUUAUUAUGCAUUAAUCUUUCCCAAAGGGAUUUCUCCAUGUGCAAUAGUGUUUUCAAAACCACUUGUCAAGAGAAGUUAUGUGAAAAUUCAACCACUAGAUGGAGUGGCUUUUAUAAGCCCUUAGGAAUCAAUUUGUUAUUCUAUUCAGUGGAUAUAGUUCUUGCUUUGGUUGAACAACUUCUCCUGCUA